ACUCCUACGGGAGGCAGCAGUGGGGAAUUUUGGACAAUGGGGGCAACCCUGAUCCAGCCAUGCCGCGUGAGUGAAGAAGGCCUUCGGUUGUAAAGCUCUUUCAGCCGGGAAGAAAUCGCAUAGGCUAAUAUCCCGUCGCGGAUGACGGUACCGGAAUAAGAAGCACCGGCUAACUACGUGCCAGCAGCCGCGGUAAUACGUAGGUGCGAGCGUUAAUCGGAAUUACUGGGCGUAAAGCGUGCGCAGGCGGUUUUUAAGAUAGGCGUGAAAUCCCCGGGCUUAACCUGGGAACUGCGCUUAUGACUGGAAGACUAGAUACGGCAGAGGGGUGGAAUUCCACGUGUAGCAGUGAAAUGCGUAGAGAUGUGGAGGAACACCGAUGGCGAAGGCAGCCCCCCUGGGCCGAUACUGACGCUCAU
Molecule: ribosomal RNA, 419 nt
Filed under: uncultured bacterium
Lineage: Bacteria
Description: bacterial SSU rRNA
Rfam family: Bacterial small subunit ribosomal RNA
Source: RNAcentral